Molecule: ribosomal RNA, 315 nt
Filed under: Triticum aestivum (bread wheat)
Lineage: Eukaryota; Viridiplantae; Streptophyta; Magnoliopsida; Poales; Poaceae
Description: partial small subunit ribosomal RNA
Source: RNAcentral
AUGAUGCCUAAUCCGCGAGCGACCCAAUCAGAAUCAAUCUUCAAACAGCUGGGAAAAGGGCAGGGAGCCCUUCAGCAGGCUGCUGCGAUUUCAUGCCAUAUUCUGCACGCCAUUGAUCCACAUUCCACAAUAGUGAGCGGAACAGGCGUCUGUUCCAGGGCGAGAUGCUCUCCAAGGCUGCGCUGGGGAGGAGGAUCAGGGAGGAGAUUAGCCUUUGGAACAUGGCGGGAGCGGGGAUCCCUUUUGACCCGGGCUGAGUCUUGUGUUUCUUCUCUUUUUUCUUCCUCUUGCACCUUUUUCUUUUCUGGUGCUUGA